RNAcentral lists this ribosomal RNA (432 nucleotides) under uncultured bacterium. RNAcentral describes it as "bacterial SSU rRNA". It matches the Rfam family "Bacterial small subunit ribosomal RNA", at positions 29 to 507 of the family's 1533-position model. The record is from RNAcentral.
AGCGAACGCUGGCGGCAGGCUUAACACAUGCAAGUCGAACGGGCGUAGCAAUACGUCAGUGGCAGACGGGUGAGUAACACGUGGGAACGUACCUUUUGGUUCGGAACAACACAGGGAAACUUGUGCUAAUACCGAAUAAGCCCUUACGGGAAGAUUAUCGCCGAAAGAUCGGCCCGCGUCUGAUUAGCUAGUUGGUGAGGUAAUGGCUCACCAAGGCGACGAUCAGUAGCUGGUCUGAGAGGAUGAUCAGCCACACUGGGACUGAGACACGGCCCAGACUCCUACGGGAGGCAGCAGUGGGGAAUAUUGGACAAUGGGCGCAAGCCUGAUCCAGCCAUGCCGCGUGAGUGAUGAAGGCCCUAGGGUUGUAAAGCUCUUUUGUGCGGGAAGAUAAUGACGGUACCGCAAGAAUAAGCCCCGGCUAACUUCGUG